Long non-coding RNA from Ornithorhynchus anatinus (platypus), 300 nucleotides. RefSeq lists it as uncharacterized. The record is from RefSeq and is a predicted model, not a curated record. Lineage: Eukaryota; Metazoa; Chordata; Mammalia; Monotremata; Ornithorhynchidae. The transcript has 2 exons.
CUCCAGCAGAGGCAUCAGCAAUUUCUGGCCAAUGUGAAUUCAGUGACAGGAGGGCCACGGAGGAGACCAACUGGAAGGACCUUCGAGGAAACAAUCAAGAGAAGCAUGUGAGGAAGUUAAAAUGAAUGAACCCAUUCAGCCAAUUCAUUUUUAUACCUACCACAAUCACUUUUUUUUUGAAGAACACUUUUGGAAAGUGUGUUCCAAAAUUAACCCGAGCCGACUUCAGUAUAACAAAGUUUCCACAUGAACAAUUGCAAAAGUUAGGGUUCCCUGGGAUUUAUUAAAAUAUUAAUUUUU